UACUUACGGCCGGUCCCAAUAACGUAUC
RNAcentral lists this small RNA (28 nucleotides) under Bombyx mori (domestic silkworm). Its description in RNAcentral is "ovarian small RNA-21592". Lineage: Eukaryota; Metazoa; Arthropoda; Insecta; Lepidoptera; Bombycidae. The record is from RNAcentral.